Molecule: unclassified non-coding RNA, 315 nt
Filed under: uncultured fungus
Lineage: Eukaryota; Fungi
Description: partial contains 5.8S ribosomal RNA, internal transcribed spacer 2, and large subunit ribosomal RNA
Rfam family: 5.8S ribosomal RNA (bases 1-52)
Source: RNAcentral
AACGCACCUUGCGCUCCUUGGUAUUCCGAGGAGCAUGCCUGUUUGAGUGUCUUGAAAUCAUCAAACCCUCCUUGCUUUUUGCGAUGGAGGUGUUUGGAGCUGGGGUGUGCUGCCUGCGAGGGCGGCUCCCCCGAAAUGCAUCGGUCGGGCCUGCGGGCCGAACCCGGCUGGGGGCGUUGUAUCCACCCUCGCUCUGAGGCCGGGAGCCUUCCGCCUGUUUGCGUGCCUCGACCUCGACCUCCGAUAUGGAGCGGCGGUCAAGACCACCUCUCGAAAUCUGACCUCAAAUCAGGUAGGACUACCCGCUGAACUUAA